RNAcentral lists this transfer RNA (51 nucleotides) under Clostridium cylindrosporum DSM 605. It matches the Rfam family "tRNA", at positions 22 to 71 of the family's 71-position model. Rfam says of the family: Transfer RNA (tRNA) molecules are approximately 80 nucleotides in length. Their secondary structure includes four short double-helical elements and three loops (D, anti-codon, and T loops). Lineage: Bacteria; Bacillati; Bacillota; Clostridia; Eubacteriales; Clostridiaceae. The record is from Rfam by way of RNAcentral.
AGCAGGGGACUGAAAAUCCCCGUGUCGCUGGUUCGAUUCCGGCUCGAGGCA